Molecule: unclassified non-coding RNA, 300 nt
Organism: Callithrix jacchus (white-tufted-ear marmoset)
Lineage: Eukaryota; Metazoa; Chordata; Mammalia; Primates; Cebidae
Rfam family: Metazoan signal recognition particle RNA
About the family: The signal recognition particle (SRP) is a universally conserved ribonucleoprotein. It is involved in the co-translational targeting of proteins to membranes.
Source: Ensembl
GCCAGGCACAGUGGCAUGUGCCUGUAGUCCCAGCUACGAGGGAGGCUGAGGCUGGAGGAUCGCUUGAGCCCAGGAGUUCUGGGUUGUAGUGCGCUAUGCCCAUCAGGUGUCUGCACUAAGUUUGGCAUCAAUACGGUGACCUCGUGGGAAUGGGGGACCACCAAGUUGCCUAAUGAGGGGCGAACCAGCCCAGGUCAGAAACAGAACAGGUCAAAACUCCAGUGCUGAUCAGUAGCAGGAUUGCGCCUGUGAAUAGCCACUGCACUCCAGCCUGGGCAACAUAGCGAGCCCCCGUCUCUU